This is a long non-coding RNA of Notothenia coriiceps (black rockcod), 1146 nucleotides long. RefSeq lists it as uncharacterized. The record is from RefSeq and is a predicted model, not a curated record. The transcript is spliced from 2 exons. Lineage: Eukaryota; Metazoa; Chordata; Actinopteri; Perciformes; Nototheniidae.
AAGUUGGAGCGCUAAGUUGUACCUGACUCCCAGCAACAGCGUGUUGCUGACGGCCAUCGCACUGAUCGGAGUGUGCGUCUUCAUCCUUGUCAUUAUUGGCAUCCUCCACUGGAAAGAGAAGAAAGCGGACGACCGAGAGAAGAGACAGGAAGCCCACCGUUUCCAUUUUGAUGCCAUGUGAAGGAAGAGAACUGCAUUAUGGGAGAACAUCCUCUCCCGUCCUCUGCCUCACGGUCCUCCCCCCUUAACACCACAUUUUCUCUGUUUCAUUUCUCGGGCCAAUAAAUGGAUCCUCAUUUGCCUCAAAACGGUUCUAUUUGAUAUUUUUCAGCUCCUCAGAUGUGAAAUAUUUAUGUUGCGUGUCAUUUAUUCAUUCCAGUGUUAGAUGUACAGGAGCUGCAACAAUGCCAUGGAGACACUCCUAAUAGGGAUCCCUCGUCAUGGUGUAAGUAGAUUUUAACAAAACGUUGCAGAUUAAACGCCCAACAAGUUAUGUUGCAUUCACUGGAAGGGAAGCAUCUUUGGCACUGAGUGUUAAAAGAUAUCAUUUUACUUGAAAUCCAUGUGCGUGCUACUGUAAAUUCUCUUUGUCUAGUUGAUUUACCUCUGUCCUUUUCAUUCGUAUGAGGUAUAAUAAAGACAUUCUUCCGAUUUUGUCACCUGUGAAAUUAAACUGAAUCUCCGCCUUGCAACCGCGACGGCAACCUGUGCAAAGAAGUGAACAAAAAGACAGACUUGUGCAAUGUCAUGAUUCCUGUGGGACGUUUUUUUCUGCUACCAAUCUCACAAAAAACAUGAACUACCAGCAGGUCCGCUGAGAGCAAAUCACAGUGCAUCAUGGGAGUGCCAACAAAAAUAGUUUAUUUCUAAUGCUACUGCACUGAGCUUGGCAAAAAGUAACUCCAGCUUGCUUGAGAUGUACUUUUAAUUGUUUUUGUCUUUUUAUGGUUAAUCAAGCCAAGCGCUUUAGUUUGCUCUGAUAUUAAUUUCACAAGAAUAACUUUCCAAUUGGCACAUUUGAACUGCUGUGAUUAACUGCGGGUGUUUGUAAUUUAUUUUGUUUUUUGAUUUGCUCAUGAAUGUUCAAGCUACUAAAUGUGUUUACUUACUGAAGUCGGUAAUAAAGGUUCGACCUGCCUAAGUCAA